GCAAGUCGAACGAUGACGCCUAGCUUGCUAGGUGGAUUAGUGGCGCACGGGUGAGUAAUAUAUAGAUAAUGUGCCCCUUAGUCUGGGAUAGCCAUUGGAAACGAUGAUUAAUACUAGAUAUUCCUUCUCAUCACAAGGUGAGUCGGGAAAGUGUAUCGCUAAGGGAUCAGUCUAUAUCGCAUCAGUUAGUUGGUAGGGUAACGGCCUACCAAGACAACGACGCGUAGGGGGUCUGAGAGGAGGAUC
This 246-nucleotide ribosomal RNA is filed under the name uncultured bacterium. RNAcentral describes it as "partial 16S ribosomal RNA". It matches the Rfam family "Bacterial small subunit ribosomal RNA", at positions 57 to 305 of the family's 1533-position model. The record is from RNAcentral.